Non-coding RNA from Danio rerio (zebrafish), 74 nucleotides. The record is from Rfam. Lineage: Eukaryota; Metazoa; Chordata; Actinopteri; Cypriniformes; Danionidae.
GGCGCUGUGGCUUAGUUGGUCAAAGUGACUGUCUAGUAAACAGAAGAUCCUGGGUUCAAAUCCCAGCAGUGCCU